Molecule: long non-coding RNA, 310 nt
Filed under: Capsicum annuum
Lineage: Eukaryota; Viridiplantae; Streptophyta; Magnoliopsida; Solanales; Solanaceae
Description: long non-coding RNA (CANN_LNC008074)
Source: RNAcentral
GCAUCUAGAGGGGUAUUUGGGUCAUCUUUCAACCCCUAUAUAUUCUAUAAACAUGGAAUUUAGCCCCAAUCCAACCACAUUAUACUCUCUUUUCUCAAAAUUCUCUCAAGAACCCCAUAGGGUUUUCAUAGGAGCUUCAAGAUUCAAAGGAUUUCACCUUAAAUUUUCACGGAUCUUCCAUCUAAGGUAUGCGUAGUGUUCAUCUAUGGAUCCAUUUCGUUCAUAGAGCUCAAGAACCAUGUUUUAAAUAUUAUUUUGUGAUUGUCUUGUUGUGAUAUGACCAUGUACAUGUUGAUCAUUGUUGUCUAAG